UAUGCUUCUUCGGGAGCAGAGACCGGCGCACGGGUGCGUAACGCGUAUGCAAUCUACCUUUCACAGAGGGAUAGCCCAGAGAAAUUUGGAUUAAUACCUCAUAGUAUAGCAGUUUCGCAUGAAACCACUAUUAAAGUCACAACGGUGAAAGAUGAGCAUGCGUCCCAUUAGCUAGUUGGUAAGGUAACGGCUUACCAAGGCAACGAUGGGUAGGGGUCCUGAGAGGGAGAUCCCCCACACUGGUACUGAGACACGGACCAGACUCCUACGGGAGGCAGCAGUGAGGAAUAUUGGACAAUGGGCGCAAGCCUGAUCCAGCCAUGCCGCGUGCAGGAUGACGGUCCUAUGGAUUGUAAACUGCUUUUAUACGAGAAGAAACCCUCCGACGUGUCGGAGCUUGACGGUAUCGUAAGAAUAAGGAUCGGCUAACUCCGUGCCAGCAGCCGCGGUAAUACGGAGGAUCCAAGCGUUAUCCGGAAUCAUUGGGUUUAAAGGGUCCGUAGGCGGUCAGGUAAGUCAGUGGUGAAAGCCCAUCGCUCAACGGUGGAACGGCCAUUGAUACUGUCUGACUUGAAUUAUUAGGAAGUAACUAGAAUAUGUAGUGUAGCGGUGAAAUGCUUAGAGAUUACAUGGAAUACCAAUUGCGAAGGCAGGUUACUACUAAUGGAUUGACGCUGAUGGACGAAAGCGUGGGUAGCGAACAGGAUUAGAUA
This 713-nucleotide ribosomal RNA is filed under the name Flavobacterium sp. B360_2. RNAcentral's name for it is "bacterial SSU rRNA". It matches the Rfam family "Bacterial small subunit ribosomal RNA", at positions 70 to 784 of the family's 1533-position model. Lineage: Bacteria; Pseudomonadati; Bacteroidota; Flavobacteriia; Flavobacteriales; Flavobacteriaceae. The record is from RNAcentral.